AUAGCAGAGGAGUAGGAGGACA
This 22-nucleotide microRNA is filed under the name Bos taurus (domestic cattle). RNAcentral describes it as "Bta-Mir-11995_3p (mature (guide))". Lineage: Eukaryota; Metazoa; Chordata; Mammalia; Artiodactyla; Bovidae. The record is from RNAcentral.